GUUGCAGAAAAUGUAGCACCUAUUGACAAUGUUGAGGUGCCUAAAUCUGACGAGACCCAGCAAGAAUUAAAACCAGAGCCAGCUAAAUGUGUAGAAUCUGAAAGUUCCUUAAUAGUUUCAGAUAACAAACAUCCUGUAUUACCUUCAGAGGAGGAAAGUCAGGCUAAUAAAGUAGGAAAUGAACCAAUAGGUAAAGAGGAGGAGCCCACUCCACUUGACCCAGCAGAUAAGUCAGUUCAUGUUGCUCCAGUUGAAGGAGAAACCAAAGCUCUAGAGGAAGCAAAAGAGGAGAACACUGUUGAGAAUAACAUUUUUGAAAAAGUUAUUAUUGAAGGGGCAGCUAAGCAGAAAAUACCCGGUGAGCUAUCAGUUGCGAUGGAAACAGUGAAAGACGCUGCUGAAGAAGAACGUAUGUAUGUAGCUGUUGAAAAAGAAACCAUUGAAGAGAGAGCUGUUGAGAAGGAAUUGAUUGGGAAUAAAACAUUUAAUGUCAAAGCCUUUGAAGAGGAGGGAGUUCAAAUGAAUGCAGCUAUUACAGAGACGAUUAUUGAAGUAAAAGCUGACAAAGGGAAAUCUUUUGAAGAAGAGGCAACUAAACAGAAAACAGUUGAGAAGGCAAAUGAUCAGAAAUCUCUAGAGGAGAAAGUUGCUAAAGCUGAAUCAAGUCCAGCACCCUCCACUACAGACACAGAGAAUGUUUGUCCUGCAAUAGACAAAAAAGAAUCAGAAACAGCAAGAGAGCCAACUCCAACUGUCGCUGACGAAAUCCCAAAAGAAGAGAUACCGAUACAUAAAGAGAUAGAACCAGAAACAAAGUAUGAGCCAUCUACUGCUGAGAGAAGCCUUGUUGAGACAGCAUCGUUGCCAGAGGAGUCAGAGGAAAAAGAAAAACCUAUUGUCGAUGCAGAGAGUGUAGCACACAAAGAAGAAAAACAGAUACCUAUAGAUACAAUGUUAAAAGUAGAUAAUAAAUCUGAGGUUACCUCGGUUUCCCCAACUCCUGAUUCUAAAGAGCAAGAAAAGGUAAAUGUAAAGGAAUCAAUGCAAAGUGUAGAGAUGGUGUCAUCCUCAGCUGUCAUUAGUGAGACACAAGUCAGAGAUGGAGCCUGUGAGGAGAAACUCAUUCAGGAUGGGACAGAAGCCGGUUCACAAAAUACAAACAGUAUUGCUGAAAAUCAACAUGAAGUAGAGAGGGAGACAGCUCUGACAGGCAGUGAUGAGAAACUGCUCGAGAAAGUUGCAGAGCAAAAGCUGUUAAUCAAAGAGAAGGAAGGAAAACUUGACAAAAAAGAGGUUGAGUCACAACCUGUUGCUGGCAAUAUCCAGGAUCUUAUUUCAAUAUCAGAAACAAGCACAGUCUGUGACAAAGAUGGCACUGCAGAGUUUGAUGUAGGAAAGACUACAACUUUAAAG
Molecule: long non-coding RNA, 1413 nt
Filed under: Sander lucioperca (pikeperch)
Lineage: Eukaryota; Metazoa; Chordata; Actinopteri; Perciformes; Percidae
Description: lncRNA (ENSSLUG00000004417.1)
Source: RNAcentral